RNAcentral lists this long non-coding RNA (593 nucleotides) under Rattus norvegicus (Norway rat). Its description in RNAcentral is "long non-coding RNA NONRATT001013". The record is from RNAcentral. Lineage: Eukaryota; Metazoa; Chordata; Mammalia; Rodentia; Muridae.
AAGGCAGCCCAGUUACUGAGACCACAGGAGUCUCACCAAGGUCUGUGGUGGAGGCCUGAGGCCAAGCUUCCCUCAGAACACUCCAGGACAGAAGUCCUACCUCCACAACCUCCCUACAGUGCUGGAGGCUUGACCUCCAGAGCAGGCAGUUACAAUCACCAUGUCUGUCCUGCCACAGAGGCCAGUGAGCACUCCACCAUCUGGUUCCACAGGUCUGUAAUGAAGGGGUUGAAGUCUGCUGUAAAACAAAAUGGAGACUGGCAGUGGUGUCCCUCUCCUUUAAUCCCAGCAUUGGGGGAGGUGGGAACAGAUUGUGUGAGUUCAAGGUCAGUCAGGGCUACACAAAGAAACCCUGUCUCAAACAAAAACAAAGAGGGAUCCAGAGGGGGCCGGAGAAGUGGCUUGGCAGUCAAGAACAGUAGCAACUCUGGCAAAGAUCUGGGCCCCAAAUUCAGCACCUGUGGCUCACAAAUAUCCAUUUAACUCUAGUUCCAGAGAUCUGACGCCCUCUUCUGGCCUCUGAGGGCACUGCAUGCAUGUAUAUGACAAAGUAACAAAUGCAGGCAAAAUUAUUCCAACAACAAAAAAAAAAA